CCGGUGUUUGCUAACGCGGAGGUCAAUCGUGGAUCAGGGAAAGCGAAGGCAGGAGCGUGAGGUGAACUGAAUUUCAGUGUGAGUGCAUGGAAGGAUCUCACAGAUCAACAUGUGGUCCAGCCACCUCUGCUGCCCCAGCCUCACCUCCAGCUGAGACUCAGAAGAACAAAACAAAGAACGCUUCGUGGUGGCGCAUGAAGUCUGAGGAUGUUCUGGAGAAGGACUCAGCAGGUCCGAAGCCUCCAGUCUCAGCUGUACCUGAUAAAGAAGCCGUGGCAAGGUCAAAAUGCAGACAGCUACACUGACCUGGUCCUUUCUUCCCUGAACACCCGCGUUCAUCUGCUUAAAUAGUCAAUUCACCCUGGACUAUUCCAUUUGGUAGGUUAACCAGGAAGUUAUAAAUACAGGAAGUAAAACUACAUUUCCUCUCUUUGUUCCUAGAACACAGGUACGUAAGGUGAGUUCAAACUAAACCAAUUAAUAGUUGAAAUAAAUAACAUGUUAACUUAACAAACUUGUCAGAAUUGAUUUAAACCAAGAUGUUAUGUUAUAAAGUGCAAAACAUAAACAAACCUGGGAUAGUAGAUGUUUGCCUGGUGCAGACUACAUAUGAGAUGGGGCUAAAUCAAAACAAGAAUGUUAACUAAGGAUAUGGACAAGUGGUAUUCUCACCCACUUUGUCACACUCUCCUCACACUGAGAGUCAUUACUGAGGAGCUCUGCAGCCAGCUGCAGCUGUGGAGGUUUCACCCAGAGUGCCAGCUCAUCAGUCAGUUUGUGGACAUCAAAUUGAGCCGCUUCAACAACGACAGCUGGAACAAAAGCUCUGUCCUGACUGCUUUUAAAGACACGGUCGCUGUGUCUCAUCCAGAGUUUGACGACGACGAUCAGAAAGAUGCCCACGAGUUCCUCGUCUGUGCUCUGGACGUGCUCCAGUGUGAGUUCUCUAAGCUGCAGGCAGAAGCAGCUGCCUUGGACAAACCUUCCAUCUGUCCAGUUAGAGCUCACAUUGGCUUCACGAUGUUGAGAAUACAGUUGUCUGUAAUCCUGGAGUGGUGAGCUCGGACACUAUGCUUGACAUUUGCUCAGAGAGGACAAAACAACAAUAAAGCACACCAGUCUGUGGUUGUGAAUGCUUGCAAUUAAUUGUUAGGAGAUGGACUAAGCCCAGAUCAAGUAUCAUGUUUCACAUACUUUAUACUGUCACAAGGUUGUACAAACCUUUUUGCCAAGAUUUAAAACAAAUGUUAUUAUUUAUGCAUCUACAAUGUGCAUCUGACUGAUGAGUGACGAAACGUUUCUCCCACUGAAAACGCAACGUCCAGAUGAACAGAAUCAACCUUUUGGGAUUUACUAUCCUGGAUAACUGAGCAUGCAUCAAGACAUAUAAUGUGCUUAAAUUUUUGGAUGUGGAAAUUAUAUAGUGUAUUUAUUUUCAUAAUCACAAUGAUACUGACUGAAAUACUGACCAGUAUUCAGGUUUUUUAAUUGUUGUUGUGUCCACACACUUCAGGAGCUGCCACUGGUGUCAUUUUACUUGGGCCAGCACAGCUCAGUGUCCCUGACGUUCUGACCAAGAAGCCCUAAUGUAGCUACACACACACAAAAACCAAACAACAACAAAAAACCUUAUUGCUGAUUUAGGUGAUUAUUUCUUGCACAUAAACUUUCUCCACAGCGCUCCAUUAAGUGUUAAAUAAGUAUCCGGAUCAUGCAUCUUUCAUGUAUGGAUAUGUGCUGGUUUUCUUCAAGACUGGUAACCAAAGAUAUCCCGCUCAGGUGCACCUUAUGGAUGUGUAACAUGGUAGACUAAUGUGCCUGUGUUAAUUCAGGUCAUAUUAUUGUGUGAAGUUGCACUGGGUUGGGAGUGUGUGUGUGUGUGUGUGUGUGUGUGUGUGUGUGUGUGUGUGUGUGUGUGUGUGUGUGUGUGUGUGUGUGUGUGUGUGUGUGUGUGUGUGUGUGUGUGUGUGUGUGUGUGUGUGUCACAUUUUUGCUGAGCCAAUGGCUGGAAUGGGGUUGGACUAAUUAGAGGCAGGUGUACUUGAUUGCACUGAUACACUGGUCUACUUAUAGCCCACACUACAAACACUGCUGUGUCAUUUUGUCUCUCUGUGCAGGCCAGGGCCUAUUAUAUGCCACAGCCUAAAGGCAGCAGAGUUGCAGAGGCUGGAGUGACCACUGGCUAUAUGCUUGCAGGGUGGUGGGUCUCAGAGGACAACUUCUAACCCCGUUGAAGGCAACAUGUGGAGUGCAACUGACAGUGUGGCAUAGCUGGCUCUGGCCUUGGGACUGUGUGUUUUAUUUGAUUCAUAAAG
Molecule: long non-coding RNA, 2315 nt
Organism: Oreochromis aureus
Lineage: Eukaryota; Metazoa; Chordata; Actinopteri; Cichliformes; Cichlidae
Source: Ensembl